UCCUGGUUAACCCAGGCAGUCUCAUUAGAGUUCCCAGCCUAAACUGUUGGCAACUAAUGAUAAGGGUUGCGCUCGUUGCGGGACUUAACCCAACACCUCACGGCACGAGCUGACGACAGCCAUGCAGCACCUGUGCAAAGGCCCCGAAGGGAGAUACUAUUUCUAGUACUGUCCUCUGCAUGUCAAGCCCAGGUAAGGUUCUUCGCGUUGCAUCGAAUUAAACCACAUGCUCCACUGCUUGUGCGGGUCCCCGUCAAUUCUUUUGAGUUUCAGCCUUGCGACUGUACUCCCCAGGCGGUAUACUUAUCGCGUUAGCUUCGGCACAGUCGGGGUUGAGUCCAACUACACCAAGUAUACAUCGUUUACGGCUAGGACUAC
Molecule: unclassified non-coding RNA, 378 nt
Filed under: uncultured Parachlamydiaceae bacterium
Lineage: Bacteria; Pseudomonadati; Chlamydiota; Chlamydiia; Parachlamydiales; Parachlamydiaceae
Description: contains 16S-23S intergenic spacer region
Source: RNAcentral